UACGGGAGGCAGCAGUGGGUAAUAUUCGCACAAUGGGCGCAAGCCUGAUGGCAGCCAUGCCGCGUGUAUGAAGAAGGCCUUCGGGUUGUAAAGUACUUUCAGUCGUGAGGAAGGUGUUAAGGUUAAUAACCUUAGCAAUUGACGUUAGCGACAGAAGAAGCACCGGCUAACUCCGUGCCAGCAGCCGCGGUAAUACGGAGGGUGCGAGCGUUAAUCGGAAUUACUGGGCGUAAAGGGCACGCAGGCGGUUAAUUAAGUUGGAUGUGAAAUCCCCGGGCUUAACCUGGGAAUGGCAUUCAAGACUGGUUAGCUAGAGUCUUGUAGAGGGGGUAGAAUUCCAUGUGUAGCGGUGAAAUGCGUAGAGAUGUGGAGGAAUACCGGUGGCGAAGGCGGCCCCUGGACAAAGACUGACGCUCAUGUGCGAAAGCGUGGGGAGCAAACAGGGAUUAGAUACC
Molecule: ribosomal RNA, 455 nt
Filed under: uncultured bacterium
Lineage: Bacteria
Description: bacterial SSU rRNA
Rfam family: Bacterial small subunit ribosomal RNA
Source: RNAcentral